Molecule: small nucleolar RNA, 141 nt
Filed under: Drosophila grimshawi
Lineage: Eukaryota; Metazoa; Arthropoda; Insecta; Diptera; Drosophilidae
Description: snoRNA:GH25766
Source: RNAcentral
GUUGUGCAGGGGUACGGAACAUGGCAAAAUGUGGCCAUGAGCAUCCUUGGUGUCUGCUCCGCUCUGUGCACUCCAGGUGCAUGUUAAACGGCUGUGGGUGGCGUCCAUGUGAUGCUUAGAACUAUAGCACUACUGAGGCAA